Lycium ferocissimum is the source of this 328-nucleotide long non-coding RNA. RefSeq lists it as uncharacterized. The record is from RefSeq and is a predicted model, not a curated record. Lineage: Eukaryota; Viridiplantae; Streptophyta; Magnoliopsida; Solanales; Solanaceae. The transcript has 3 exons.
AAGAUUGGCUUAGGAAAGAGACUAAAUCUAUUAGUGUGGAUGAAAGUUUGGAUCAUCUUGAGGAACUUGAACUUGAGAUGGCAAAUAGUGGAAGAGAUCCUUGCAUUGUUGAUGUAUGAUUGCAAUUUGCUUCUUUGUUACUAGUGUUCAACCAUGCCUUCUAGAGCUCGCUCACAAGUUUGGGAACAUUUUGUGGUGGUUCAAGACAAUGAAGAAGGGCGUAAAGCAAGGUGCUUAACAUGUGGUGCGAUACUUAAUUGUCAUAGAGCAAACGGCUCAUCUUGCUUAAUGAAGCAUAUUGAGAGAUGUCUUGAAGAGAGGCAGAUUC